GCACAAGCGGUGGAGUAUGUGGUUUAAUUCGAUGCAACGCGAAGAACCUUACCUGGUCUUGACAUCCCGGAGACCCUUAGGAAACUAGGGGGUGCUUCCAUCUGGAAGAAUCUGGAGACAGGUGCUGCAUGGCUGUCGUCAGCUCGUGUCGUGAGAUGUUGGGUUAAGUCCCGCAACGAGCGCAACCCUUGCCUUUAGUUGCCAGCAGUUCGGCUGGGCACUCUAAAGGGACUGCCGGUGUUAAACCGGAGGAAGGUGGGGAUGACGUCAAGUCCUCAUGGCCUUUAUGACCAGGGCUACACACGUACUACAAUGGCCGAUACAAAGGGCAGCGACACUGCGAGGUGAAGCCAAUCCCGUAAAAUCGGUCUCAGUCCGGAUUGGAGUCUGCAACUCGACUCCAUGAAGUUGGAAUCGCUAGUAAUCGUGGAUCAGCAUGCCACGGUGAAUACGUUCCUGGGCCUU
RNAcentral lists this ribosomal RNA (465 nucleotides) under uncultured Desulfobulbus sp. RNAcentral describes it as "bacterial SSU rRNA". It matches the Rfam family "Bacterial small subunit ribosomal RNA", at positions 923 to 1382 of the family's 1533-position model. Lineage: Bacteria; Pseudomonadati; Thermodesulfobacteriota; Desulfobulbia; Desulfobulbales; Desulfobulbaceae. The record is from RNAcentral.